Molecule: ribosomal RNA, 369 nt
Filed under: Candida sojae
Lineage: Eukaryota; Fungi; Ascomycota; Pichiomycetes; Serinales; Debaryomycetaceae
Description: SSU rRNA
Rfam family: Eukaryotic small subunit ribosomal RNA
Source: RNAcentral
GUACACCACUUACGAUGACGAUUGAGAGCUCUUUCUUGAUUUUGUGGGUGGUGGUGCAUGGCCGUUCUUAUUUGGUGGAGUGAUUUGUCUGCUUAAUUGCAAUAACGAACAAAACCUUAACCUACUAAAUAGUGCUGCUACCACUUGCUGGUUGCUCCACUUCUAAGAGGGACUAUCGAUUUCAACUCGAUGGAAUUUUGAGGCAAUAACAGGUCUGUGAUGCCCUUAGACCUUCUGGGCCGCACCCCCGCUACACUGACGGAGCCAGCGAGUAUAAUCCUUGGCCGAGAGGUCUGGGAAAUCUUGUGAAACUCCGUCGUGCUGGGGAUAGAGCAUUGUAAUUGUUGCUCUUCAGCGAUAGAAUAAUAA